CUUGAACACUGUAUUUGAGUUAGCAGUUAUAUGUUUUUUUUGCUGUGUGUUUAAAGUGUUUUCAUUUUGAGUGUUUUCUAAUUUCUUAUCCAACAAGCAUGGCCCUUGACUUGUGCCAAGCUCAUAAUGACAGUCCUGUGGGAGUUGAACGCUUCAGCGUUGUGUAAUCAUAACAGCUCAUGUAAAUUAGUAUAGUUUUUAAAGCACAGAUUGAAGUCAGAUUGAAUUUGAUUCACAUCUCAUUUUAUGAUUCUUCUUAGAAUGCUAACUAAGCAUUCACAUUAGGUACUUAACCUCUCUAAGCUUCACCUUCUCAUUCAUAAAAUGGGAAUUAAUAAUAAUGCCUAUUCAAAGAGAUAUUGUAAGGAUUAAAAGAGAUUAUAUAUACAAACUUGUCUCUGUGGUGGCUAGUACAUAAGCACUCGAUAAAUAACUGUUACUAUUACAUGAUAGUCAUUAUUCUAAAUAUAUUUUUAUUUAUUACCUACAGUCAGCAUCUUUUGUACAAAAUACAGUUUAUUGCUGUGAUCUGCAGUGAAGGCUAAUGUAUUCAUUGUCAACCUGUAUUAUAUCUGUUCCAUCUAAGAUCCACAUGGAGCUAGAUUUUUGAGUAACCAGGGAAAGAACUGGAAUGGAUCUUAUCAAAAAGCAGGAAAAAUAAGAUAAAUGAUUCAAGAGUGGUUUCAGACACUGCUGUGAGCACACAGCUAAGAGAGAAGACGAGGCCCGGAGAUGAUGCUGAGGGAGGGGAGGUGUCAGGGGUCUGAGUUCUAAAGAAUAUCCAAAAUUGGGGCACAUGGACACCUGGGGUUUGGGAGGGCACUGUAGGAGAGCAAAGCAGUGUGAGCAAAUGCAUGGAGGCACAGAGUCACGUGGCACGAGGCUUUCCAUUUGUUAGGUGCACAGCUUUUGUGAAAAGCGUUAAAACUAGGGAGAGCCUUGGAUACUGGGCUCUGUUUAGUAAACACUGGAAAAGCCACAGUUUAGGUAGAGAAGUGGCAGGAGCAGGCUGCGCUUUAGAAGGGUUGAGCUAAUAUGCAGGGAGCUAGUAGGAGGCUCUAGGAAUAGACACCUGAGAGGUAUGGAGCCUAGGAAUGAACACAGUGAAAAAGAUACCGAACUGACAAAUCUCACAAGACUGGCAACACAUAGGUGAGACUGAGGAAGUCAGAGGAAGUGCUGAAGAUGAUGUCGUGUGGCCGGGAGGAGAGCGCCACUCAUAAAGGGGGGACCACAGAAGAUGUGGGUUUGUCACGCAAAUGAGGCGUUCCCUCUGGGAUACACACCUUGAGUUGAGGUCUAGGAAAACAUCCAGAGAAGGGACCAGGCACGGGGCUGGACAUUCAUGGUGGAAUGUGGCAGGAAGUUAAGGACUGGGAGUAUAAACAGGCAGCUUUGCAUAUACAGGUGAUGGUGAACACACACAGUGAUCACAAACUAUACAACAGAUGACAUCACAUGCCAAGCAAGGUAGGAGCGCUCCUUACUGUUGCUGCAAGUGCUUCAAGACCCUCUAAAAUGAGAGGCGUCUCCUUUCUCUGCUGGAACAGUGCUUCUCAAUGUCUGUGCCAUUAGCUACCUGCUAGCAGUUACCAGGUGCCUACUUAUUCCCUGUCCAUGAAGCGGUAAGUACAGAAAGGGAGAAUAAGCAUUUAGAAAUUUUAUAGCAAUUGGCAGAGGAGCUUUAUGUCUAUUGACUCUAAUAAUUAAACAUUUGGAUUCACAUUUGUAUAUUGUUUUCACCAUUUUAUUUUUCUAUUUUUAUUAUAUUUUAAAAGUAUUUACAUACAAUAAAUUGGAAAAAUGAUCCGACACUACAGAUAGUUUGAAGACCACUGAGGUAGACUUUAUUAAGAUACCUUUAAACCACACUGAGCAAAACAUUUCAGGACACCAAGAAAAUCAGCCAAAUGUAACAUUAUCUCUUACUGUCCUUAAAAUACUGGGCUAAGCAAUAUUCUAAUAGUAUCCUCUGAUUGCAGAUGAGAUUCUUUAAAUUGUUCAGAUGAUCUGGAGUUGAGGAUGUGCCUGGUUCACAGUGUCUUUGAGCACUGCGGUCAUCAGAUGCAGCCUCCAGCCAAGCACCCACUGUCUGGGAGGAGGGAGUUUCCCACUCUUAUUCCUGCUUUAAUCCUAGCUUGUCAGUUUUUGUUUUGUUGUAACAUAAAAACCAUGGGGAGUAGAGUCUAUUGCUUUCUCUCAAAAUAAACCUUUGGAUCAUUCACUGUGAGGAGGGACAAAGGAAAGUGAAAAUGCUAGGGAAAAAAAUACCAGUUAACAUUUACAAAUACCAUGCCACAUAUCCUGCACAUACAGAGGACCUCUUCCCUCAUGGGUGCGGUGCGGAUACUUGUUUCAUUUUACACCGUCAAACCACCUACCUUUUUGGAUAUGCAGAAUUUUAUAAUUCAUAGGCAAAAAUUUCAAAAAUUAUCUUCACAUUUAAUGGUCUCACGAGUAGUGUUACACUGACACAUAUUUAACAGGACAUGAUUUACUAGACAGCAUGUACUACGUAGUACUCAUCAAGCAAAUGAAUAAAUACUAUUCAUUAUGUAUUGGAAAAAAAGUUGUCCCUUUUUGAGAGGUAGAAAUAAUGAAGAUGCCAUCUUUUGUAAAGCACAGAAAUCAAAUAAACGCUUUGUCAUGAUUCACCAUUAUGGAACUUUGCAGUGAUUACAUAUCAUUUAGAAGCUGGUGGUCUUUGGCAGUGACUAGAAAAACAGCCACGCUAAGAUUUUCCCUGCUGUUGUUUAAUAAAGAGGUUAUUAAGGCAAAGUUGAAUUAAACGUUCUUCUCAGAUGCAUGUAUACCUAUAUAAUCUUCUUAGAAUCAUUGCCUUCUUUAUAACCAUAACUUGAAAUUAUUUUUAAAUAUUGUGGAACUUCUAUAUAAUGUCAGUCAUGAGGAUGAGGACACAACUCACCUUGGAAGCUCCUGUUCAUAUCAGACUUAUGUUAAUAAUUCGAUUUCAGAGAAUGUCACUAGUUGUAUAGAAAGGCAAAGUGGGGAUGUAUUGUAAAAUGCAACAUUUAAUUCAAUUCCCUAAUAUCAGUGUGAAGACUUGGAAACCAUCCCUGUAUGUGCAGGACUCUUCAUAAUCCAGUUGACCUAAGAGUCUCUAUCAAAUAAAAUGAAGCCCUCCCCUCAAAUAGAAGUUUUGUUGCUAAAUUAAUGCAAUAAUUGAAUCCUAGGGAACUACAGUUUCAACAUAUGAAGUGCACUUUAAAGAAGCAGGUGAUAUAUUCCCAAGGAAAGGUCUGCCUCAGACCUCUGUUUUACUUAUUGGUUUUAACAUUUUUAUAAGCAUGUUUCACAGAUUGAUGUGAUCAUUGAUCAACUACUUACUAUUCCAUAAAGCCAGUGUUCUUAGCAUUUGAAGUAACAGCUGGUAUUUCAGGGUCUACUAGGCACCAAAUAUAGCAUGCAUGUUUUAUGGACAUUAUCACAAAUCCCCAAAACAUACCUACAAGGCAGGAAUUUGAUUUUCAUUUUACAGAUGAAGAAAUUGAGGCUCAGAAUAAGAAAUUGUCUGAUUCCACCUAGCUGCUAUGUGGAAAGUGUGAUUGAAUUCCUGGAAAUCAAUCUAUAUCCUCCACACAUAGGUAUAACCAGAUAUUUUUAAUGAAUUAAGAUAGUAAUGAGGAUUAAAAUCUACUUCCAAAGUAAUUCAUGGAAUUUCCACUAGAACAAAAUGACUCCAAAGAAUUAUACUCUUUCCAA
Molecule: long non-coding RNA, 3723 nt
Organism: Rhinopithecus roxellana (golden snub-nosed monkey)
Lineage: Eukaryota; Metazoa; Chordata; Mammalia; Primates; Cercopithecidae
Exons: 2
Source: RefSeq, a predicted model, not a curated record